Molecule: ribosomal RNA, 498 nt
Filed under: uncultured bacterium
Lineage: Bacteria
Description: partial 16S ribosomal RNA
Rfam family: Bacterial small subunit ribosomal RNA
Source: RNAcentral
AUUGAACGCUGGCGGCAUGCCUUACACAUGCAAGUCGAACGGUAACAGGUCUUCGGAUGCUGACGAGUGGCGAACGGGUGAGUAAUACAUCGGAACGUGCCUAGUAGUGGGGGAUAACUACUCGAAAGAGUGGCUAAUACCGCAUGAGAUCUACGGAUGAAAGCAGGGGAUCGCAAGACCUUGUGCUACUAGAGCGGCCGAUGGCAGGUUAGGGAGUUGGUGGGAUAAAAGCUUACCAAGCCGACGACCUGUAGCUGGUCUGAGAGGACGAUCAGCCACACUGGGACUGAGACACGGCCCAGACUCCUACGGGAGGCAGCAGUGGGGAAUUUUGGACAAUGGGCGAAAGCCUGAUCCAGCAAUGCCGCGUGCAGGAUGAAGGCCUUCGGGUUGUAAACUGCUUUUGUACGGAACGAAAAGCCCCGGGUUAAUACCCUGGGGUCAUGACGGUACCGUAAGAAUAAGCACCGGCUAACUACGUGCCAGCAGCCGCAGUAA